RNAcentral lists this ribosomal RNA (427 nucleotides) under uncultured Gammaproteobacteria bacterium. RNAcentral's name for it is "bacterial SSU rRNA". It matches the Rfam family "Bacterial small subunit ribosomal RNA", at positions 958 to 1385 of the family's 1533-position model. Lineage: Bacteria; Pseudomonadati; Pseudomonadota; Gammaproteobacteria. The record is from RNAcentral.
AACGCGAAGAACCUUACCUGGCCUUGACAUCUACGGAAUCCUGCAGAGAUGCGGGAGUGCCUUCGGGAACCGUAAGACAGGUGCUGCAUGGCUGUCGUCAGCUCGUGUCGUGAGAUGUUGGGUUAAGUCCCGCAACGAGCGCAACCCUUGUCCUUAGUUGCCAUCAUUAAGUUGGGAACUCUAAGGAGACCGCCGGUGACAAACCGGAGGAAGGUGGGGAUGACGUCAAGUCAUCAUGGCCUUUAUGGCCAGGGCUACACACGUGCUACAAUGGCAGGUACAGAGGGAAGCCAACUCGCGAGAGGGAGCCAAUCCCAGAAAGCCUGUCGUAGUCCGGAUCGGAGUCUGCAACUCGACUCCGUGAAGUCGGAAUCGCUAGUAAUCGCAGAUCAGCAUUGCUGCGGUGAAUACGUUCCCGGGCCUUGUA